RNAcentral lists this ribosomal RNA (465 nucleotides) under Vreelandella stevensii. RNAcentral describes it as "partial 16S ribosomal RNA". It matches the Rfam family "Bacterial small subunit ribosomal RNA", at positions 338 to 795 of the family's 1533-position model. Lineage: Bacteria; Pseudomonadati; Pseudomonadota; Gammaproteobacteria; Oceanospirillales; Halomonadaceae. The record is from RNAcentral.
CCUACGGGCGGCAGCAGUGGGGAAUAUUGGACAAUGGGGGGAACCCUGAUCCAGCCAUGCCGCGUGUGUGAAGAAGGCCCUCGGGUUGUAAAGCACUUUCAGUGAGGAAGAACGCCUGGUGGUUAAUACCCAUCAGGAAAGACAUCACUCACAGAAGAAGCACCGGCUAACUCCGUGCCAGCAGCCGCGGUAAUACGGAGGGUGCGAGCGUUAAUCGGAAUUACUGGGCGUAAAGCGCGCGUAGGUGGCUUGAUAAGCCGGUUGUGAAAGCCCCGGGCUCAACCUGGGAACGGCAUCCGGAACUGUCAAGCUAGAGUGCAGGAGAGGAAGGUAGAAUCCCCGGUGUAGCGGUGAAAUGCGUAGAGAUCGGGAGGAAUACCAGUGGCGAAGGCGGCCUUCUGGACUGACACUGACACUGAGGUGCGAAAGCGUGGGUAGCAAACAGGAUUAGAUACCCCUGUAGUC